This is a long non-coding RNA of Artibeus jamaicensis (Jamaican fruit-eating bat), 3158 nucleotides long. RefSeq lists it as uncharacterized. The record is from RefSeq and is a predicted model, not a curated record. NCBI's taxonomy places the organism in Eukaryota, Metazoa, Chordata, Mammalia, Chiroptera, Phyllostomidae. The transcript is spliced from 3 exons.
UACUUUUUUUAAAGUUUUUCUUAUAAAAAAAUUUAUGUUGUGCAACCAUAGUGCAGAUUACAAGAUGGAAAACCUGUCUUCCCCGAGUCACAGAGCAAAUCACUUCUUGUUUCAUGUCGCGGGGCCUCCCAAUGCCAGCUGCCUUCUUCCUUGCACAGACGAUUCCUGCUCCUUCUGAUCACCCUCUUUGCUUCAGGGAAACUCCACUUACUUCAUUUUACACCCAGCCAGCGAUCCUCCUCGGUUUUUGCUGUCAUCCACAUCUCCUGGGAGGUGGGCUGCACACAGUCUGGGCUCCCGCAGCCUUUAUUUGAUCAGCCCCUGGGGCAUGACUCGCCUGUAGGAGCACAAGCUGAGGCCUUGGUGAGCCCUGCAGUGCUGCCCCUCUGACACGUUAAGGCACUGGGUACAGCAGUUUCCAGUGCCAGCCACAGUGAAGAGGCUCAGGGCAGUGCUUCAGCGCAGGGCAAGUCAGUGCCCAGGAAGGGACAGCCACAGUUAUGGCAUCUUCUGAGCGACAGUGGGAAGCUAGGUCAUUAUUGGUAUUUUUGUUUGACUAUAAUUAUGAGGGUUUCUUUUUUAAAAAAAUUAGGUGGCCAUUAUUCAUUUCAGUGGGAAACCUAGUUGUACAGACUGUAAAGCCAGGAAACGAAGGUGGUGUCAGGUCCACAUGGGGGCAGCAGGACAUGGGGCGUUUCAUCAGUUCCAGAUAAGCAACAGCCUCUUUUUGCAUGUUGGGUCGUUUGCUGGUUCUUUGUGCACCUCCCUCACUGGAGUGGAAGUUCCACGAAAACAAUCCCCAAGGCUGCUUUGUUCCCAUUUGCAACCUUAGGGGUUCCAGGCACAUACAGACACAUUAAUAUUUGUUGAUAGAAGAGGAAGGGAGGAAAGGGGGAAGGAGAGAGGGAGGGAAGGAGAAAAGAAUAGUAUCCAUAUCUGGCUGACUUUUACUACAGGUGAUUUUUGCUUCCGAGGUGCAAAAUGUAACCCUGUUUUUACAUGUCCAGUGCUCUCAAGUCAUUUCCAGGACCCACCUCCCACCUGCCUUUCCCUCUACACUCCUGUCUCGACCAUAUUCCCAGACUCACUGCAAACUCCAGCUGUUGCAGUGUGUGGAGACUGAGGAGUCAACCAGCUGAUGAACAAACCCAUCUGUGCUCGCAGCAGAAUGCCAGAACUUCCUAGUAGUAAGGACACUUUAGGGAGACUUACAGCGAUAAGGGACACUCCUUGUUUCUGUCAAGCUAUUAGAAACUCCAGCUUUGCCAGUUCCAGACUUGCCGAAGGCUCCAGCUCAGCAACUGUGACCCCUGUGGCGAAGCAGGGCCCCUGGGUAGGGUUGCCUCCUCCUGCGCUGAGCGCACCACCCAGGAUAUUUGAUAUGACUGGUAUUGUGGAUUACCUUUAGCAUUUCCUUUAAGCUGAAGAGGAGCUAAAGGAAGUAACGGUAAUACAGUUCAUUAAAUUUAAAAAGACAGAAGACUCUGCAGAAGGAGUUUGGAUUCUUGCCCUGAUGCAAAUGUUGCAAAAAUACCUUUUGUCCCCAAAUUCCUUCUCCUUGUGUCAAGAUGUACCCACACAAUGGAGAUCUGAGAUGUAAAGGUAAAAACUGCUGAAUUAAGGCAAGCUUGUUCCCGCUACCUACCAUUAGGAAAUGCAGCCUGCUAAGCACAAAGGAAUGACUUGCAGAGAGCACUUCAGCCAGGGACAGUGUGACUUUUCCUUAGGACACACCAAUGAGAAGUGACGGAAGCAGCAUGGUGCAGAGGAAGUUGAGCUGUGACGCAGCUUCAACGCAGCUUCAACACAAGCCGUGGCUGUCUACAGUUACUUCAGAUCUUUUCAGCCCUGUCACUAGUCACUGGAAGCAGUUGCCUCAGGAGAGGGGACUGUUCCCUGGGGCAAGGCAGCACCCUGCAGCCAAGAGCAAUUCCCAGAGAUUCAGGGAAAGUCUGAGCAGUCCCCAGGCUCCACCCUGGAAGGGGUCUGGGUGGUACCCUGCACUUCUCAGUCUGCCCUCGCACCCCUCCCAUAGACCUGGGCCAUAGAGGAAGCCCAGGAAACACUCGUCCAUUCCUGUUGGCCCUCACUGCUGCAGCUUGUCUCAAGGUGCAGAUGACACUGUCACCUUCUUCCACUGCUACCCAAGGUAGAUUUGCCUCACCCCAGCGACACGGCAAUGAAAGUGGUCCUGCUAAAGGCUUGGUGGACCAGAGAAGCAAUUCUGUCUCCUACCUGGUCGAUCAUGGUACGCUGCUCAAAGCCACUAGCUGACUGCUCUCCACCCAUUUCAGAGUAAAAACCAAAGUCCUUAUUGUGAUUUAUACCGUAUCUUGCUCAAGACUUCAUCUUGGACUGCAUCCUUGGUUAGUUUCCUCCUGUCACUCUGUUCCCAUCACACCACCUCCUCCUUCCUCCUUGAACACGUUUGUAGGAUGAUUCAGCAGUAUGUUUUCCUGCCCUCCUUGGAGAAGCCCUGAACAUGUAGAGAUCAAAAUACAGGAGCCGAGUUGCUGCAGACUGAGAAGUUAAGAGUUUUCUGCCUCAUGGUGUAAAAAGUUGUCUUCUGCAAAGAUUUUCAGAUAGCCACAUGUAGUCACUUAAAAGAAUUCAGCUAUUGGCUAACUAAAAUAGAGAACUAAUCAUUUCAAUAGUGCACUUUACUUGGGCAGUGUAUUAUGCCCUAGGCAAAGGAUGCCCCAGUCCUGACACCCCUGAAAAGAAUGUCUGGUUUUAAAAGGUUUCCCAACUACUCACUGAAAACAGUGAACUUUUUAUUGUGCAUGUGUCCAGGCAAGAUGGUUUCCUUGAGGAAAAAAGUGAGGGACUGACAGCUGCAGAGAAACAUUAAUGAUCAAAAAUUAAAAGAAUGAAAAAAAAUCUUUCUAUAGAAUUGCACACACAGUAUACAUUUUGGCUACUUGAGAGAUUCCCAAGGCCAAUGUGAACAUCACUGGUUCGCAAUAAGAACUGGACCCUGUAAUGGAAAGAAGAAACAGCAAGAAGUGGCCGUCAUAAAAUGAGCAGGCCCUUGGAAGUGGCAGUAACGGGGCAGAGGCCCAAGGCUGGAGAUGAAUAGGAGGGUCACUCUGGUGGACUGGAGAAGCAGUUCGUCUCCUAUCUGGUUUUAAAUUUCCCUUUCUGUAUUGCAUUUUCUU